CUUUCAUUAACCUGAACUUUGUGUCUCAGUGUGAAUUUACUUCUGCGUGCACGCAACUUUAUUAUCUUUAAUUUGGACAGGAACAGAUAGUCAUUCAAACUAAUUGGUUUGCAGUAAAUUAUCUACAACAGCUGGCGCCAUAACGUGGGGCUCUGGGCUAUGUCCUGUCUGGGCAGCUGUCCAAGAAGAUGCUGGGGGGGUGAAUCCUGGGGGAAGGAAAAGAGCCUGAUCACCUCUGAGUACACGGUAGAGAUUGCUGCAGCACCUAGCCGGUAUGUUCCUGCCCCUGUGAUUGACCUGCCCCAGUGUCUGUGACUGCUGCCGAGAGGACAUCAAAGUCAGGU
RNAcentral lists this long non-coding RNA (344 nucleotides) under Pelobates cultripes (western spadefoot toad). Lineage: Eukaryota; Metazoa; Chordata; Amphibia; Anura; Pelobatidae. The record is from RNAcentral.